CAAGUCGAACGGGGGUGGGGGCAACUCCACUUCAGUGGCGAACGGGUGAGUAAUGCAUCGGAACGUGUCCCGUAGUGGGGGAUAACGCCGCGAAAGCGGCGCUAAUACCGCAUACGCUCUGUGGAGGAAAGCCGGGGACCCGCAAGGGCCUGGUGCUAGGGGAGCGGCCGAUGUCCGAUUAGCUAGUUGGUGGGGUAAUGGCUUACCAAGGCAACGAUCGGUAGCUGGUCUGAGAGGAUGAUCAGCCACACUGGGACUGAGACACGGCCCAGACUCCUACGGGAGGCAGCAGUGGGGAAUUUUGGACAAUGGGGGCAACCCUGAUCCAGCCAUGCCGCGUGCGGGAAGAAGGCCUUCGGGUUGUAAACCGCUUUUAGCCGGGAAGAAAAGGCGCGGGCUAAUACCCUGUGUUUUUGACGGUACCGGCGGAAUAAGCACCGGCUAACUACGUGCCAGCAGCCGCGGUAAUACGUAGGGUGCGAGCGUUAAUCGGAAUUACUGGGCGUAAAGCGUGCGCAGGCGGUUCGUUGUGUCGGCGGUGAAAGCCCCGGGCUUAACCUGGGAAUGGCCGUUGAAACUGGCGAACUGGAGUGUGGCAGAGGGGGGUGGAAUUCC
RNAcentral lists this ribosomal RNA (615 nucleotides) under uncultured beta proteobacterium. RNAcentral describes it as "bacterial SSU rRNA". It matches the Rfam family "Bacterial small subunit ribosomal RNA", at positions 58 to 670 of the family's 1533-position model. Lineage: Bacteria; Pseudomonadati; Pseudomonadota; Betaproteobacteria. The record is from RNAcentral.